GUUUUUGGCCUUUUCUUUAUAUAUGUGGCCUAGCAAUAUCCUGUGUUUGGAAAAGUAUAAACCUAAGGCAUCACCUUUACAGAAAAUAUCUUCCACGGAAACAUCUAAAGGCAAAAAUCCUUCAAAUUCAAAUUUAUCCAAUCAUUUCUUCUGCUUACUACCAUCCUAAAUCAUUUUUCUUUAGUAAGAUCUAUUAGUGUGAAGCUAUUAAGCUAUUAAUGUAUGUAUCAUAUUAAUGUAUUAAGACAUUAAGUGAGGAAGUAAAGUUGCAUUCACAGGCCUUGAACUUUUCCACAUCUCGAUUUUUACCCAUCAUCUCUGCAUAGUUCCCUAAGGCAGCCUUCAAAUGGUGAUGUUUCUUAUAAUCCAGAGUUCAGAAGUGGCUUCUCUUCAAUCUUUCUGUGGAAUUCUAAACCACGUGAUAAAGGAGCUGGUGGCCACAGAUCAGCCCUGGGGUUCAGAGGGAUCCUGACAGCUACUCCUCAAGAUCCUCUCUGUUGUGAUUCAUCCCCCCGGGGCCCUACAGUUUCUCCUUCCUGACUCUUACAUUUCUUUGGAUGGCAUCAUUAUUUUAGGUGCCAAGCACUGUGGAUUCUGCCUCUCAGUGUCCAGACACCCAUUU
This 622-nucleotide long non-coding RNA is filed under the name Homo sapiens (human). RNAcentral's name for it is "MYO3B antisense RNA 1". Lineage: Eukaryota; Metazoa; Chordata; Mammalia; Primates; Hominidae. The record is from RNAcentral.